Molecule: long non-coding RNA, 523 nt
Organism: Mauremys reevesii (Reeves's turtle)
Lineage: Eukaryota; Metazoa; Chordata; Testudines; Geoemydidae
Exons: 3
Source: RefSeq, a predicted model, not a curated record
GCAUAUAGUAAAAAGUUAAGACCACACAACAUCCAACCAGAUGACAGCUCAUGUAUACUAAUGUAAUACCUAACAAAAUUAAAGAAAAAUAAAAGCAGCAGAAGUGGGCAUUGUAUAAAUGCAAUACCACCAGGGGUACAGGAUUAAGAUCUACAGUCAACCAGUAACAUAAGAACUACCACACCAGAUGAGACCAGAGUCCAUUUAGUCCAGUGCCUCUGAUGCUUCAAAGGAAAAGUGCAGAAAAAAAAUGAAGUAGGCAACUGUGGAAUAAAUUAUCCAUAGGGAAAACUUAUUUCUAAUUCCUCUGAGGUUGGUUUUAUGCCUUGAAACAACAGUACUUCCCAUAAUAAAUAUUUUAUUUCCCCCCUAGAUUGUCAGUUCAAAAAAUAAGUGCCAUUUUAUUGGAAAUGUAUUUAUCUACCUUAAAACAUAAGAUUAAAUUUAGCCAACAAGCAUAUCCUCAAACAUAAUUUCUGAAUGGUCACCUUAAACUAUUUAACCCAAUGGACUGGAGCACUGA